UGGGGAAUUUUGGACAAUGGGGGCAACCCUGAUCCAGCAAUGCCGCGUGAGUGAAGAAGGCCUUCGGGUUGUAAAGCUCUUUUGUCAGGGAAGAAACGGGUCUGGCUAAUAUCCAGACUCAAUGACGGUACCUGAAGAAUAAGCACCGGCUAACUACGUGCCAGCAGCCGCGGUAAUACGUAGGGUGCAAGCGUUAAUCGGAAUUACUGGGCGUAAAGCGUGCGCAGGCGGUUUUGUAAGACUGUCGUGAAAUCCCCGGGCUCAACCUGGGAAUGGCGAUGGUGACUGCAAGGCUAGAGUUUGGCAGAGGGGGGUAGAAUUCCACGUGUAGCAGUGAAAUGCGUAGAUAUGUGGAGGAACACCGAUGGCGAAGGCAGCCCCCUGGGUCAAAACUGACGCUCAUGCACGAAAGCGUGGGGAGCAAACA
RNAcentral lists this ribosomal RNA (427 nucleotides) under uncultured Duganella sp. Its description in RNAcentral is "bacterial SSU rRNA". It matches the Rfam family "Bacterial small subunit ribosomal RNA", at positions 355 to 774 of the family's 1533-position model. The record is from RNAcentral. Lineage: Bacteria; Pseudomonadati; Pseudomonadota; Betaproteobacteria; Burkholderiales; Oxalobacteraceae.